GACGAACGCUGGCGGCGUGCUUAACACAUGCAAGUCGAACGGAAAGGCCCUGCUUUUGUGGGGUGCUCGAGUGGCGAACGGGUGAGUAACACGUGAGUAACCUGCCCUUGACUUUGGGAUAACUUCAGGAAACUGGGGCUAAUACCGGAUAGGAGCUCCUGAUGCAUGGUGGGGGUUGGAAAGUUUCGGCGGUUGGAGAUGGACUCGCGGCUUAUCAGCUUGUUGGUGGGGUAGUGGCUUACCAAGGCUUUGACGGGUAGCCGGCCUGCGAGGGUGACCGGCCACAUUGGGACUGAGAGACGGCCCAGACUGCUACGGGAGGCAGCAGUGGGGAAUAUUGCACAAUGGGCGGAAGCCUGAUGCAGCAACGCCGCGUGCGGGAUGACGGCCUUCGGGUUGUAAACCGCUUUCGCCUGUGACGAAGCGUGAGUGACGGUAAUGGGUAAAGAAGCACCGGCUAACUACGUG
RNAcentral lists this ribosomal RNA (468 nucleotides) under uncultured bacterium. RNAcentral describes it as "partial 16S ribosomal RNA". It matches the Rfam family "Bacterial small subunit ribosomal RNA", at positions 28 to 507 of the family's 1533-position model. The record is from RNAcentral.